UAGGGAAUCUUCCACAAUGGGCGAAAGCCUGAUGGAGCAACGCCGCGUGUGUGAUGAAGGGUUUCGGCUCGUAAAACACUGUUGUAAGAGAAGAAUGACAUUGAGAGUAACUGUUCAAUGUGUGACGGUAUCUUACCAGAAAGGAACGGCUAAAUACGUGCCAGCAGCCGCGGUAAUACGUAUGUUCCAAGCGUUAUCCGGAUUUAUUGGGCGUAAAGCGAGCGCAGACGGUUAUUUAAGUCUGAAGUGAAAGCCCUCAGCUCAACUGAGGAAUUGCUUUGGAAACUGGAUGACUUGAGUGCAGUAGAGGAAAGUGGAACUCCAUGUGUAGCGGUGAAAUGCGUAGAUAUAUGGAAGAACACCAGUGGCGAAGGCGGCUUUCUGGACUGUAACUGACGUUGAGGCUCGAAAGUGUGGGUAGCAAACAGGAUUAGAUACCCUGAUAGUCCACACCGUAAACGAUGAGUGCUAGGUGUUUGAGGGUUUCCGCCCUUAAGUGCCGCAGCUAACGCAUUAAGCACUCCGCCUGGGGAGUACGACCGCAAGGUU
RNAcentral lists this ribosomal RNA (549 nucleotides) under uncultured bacterium. RNAcentral describes it as "bacterial SSU rRNA". It matches the Rfam family "Bacterial small subunit ribosomal RNA", at positions 355 to 895 of the family's 1533-position model. The record is from RNAcentral.